RNAcentral lists this ribosomal RNA (516 nucleotides) under uncultured bacterium. RNAcentral describes it as "bacterial SSU rRNA". It matches the Rfam family "Bacterial small subunit ribosomal RNA", at positions 9 to 518 of the family's 1533-position model. The record is from RNAcentral.
AGGUUCGAUUCUGGCUCAGGAUGAACGCUAGCGGCAGGCUUAACACAUGCAAGUCGAGGGGCAUCGGGUUGUAGCAAUACAAUGCCGGCGACCGGCGAAAGGGUGAGUAACGCGUGAGCAACAUGCCCGAUAGUGGAGGAUAGUCGAUGGAAACGUCGCGUAAUACUCCGUAACAACAGAGGCCGCAUGACCUUUGUUUAAUAGAUUUAUUGCUAUCGGAUUGGCUCGCGUACCAUUAGCUAGUUGGCGGGGUAACGGCCCACCAAGGCGACGAUGGUUAGGGGUUCUGAGAGGAAGGUCCCCCACAUUGGAACUGAGACACGGUCCAGACUCCUACGGGAGGCAGCAGUGAGGAAUAUUGGUCAAUGGCCGAAAGGCUGAACCAGCCAUGCCCGCGUGCGGGAGGACGGCCCUAUGGGUUGUAAACCGCUUUUGUCGGGGAGCAAUAAGACGGACGAGUCCGUCGACGAGAGUACCCGGCGAAUAAGCAUCGGCUAACUCCGUGCCAGCCGCUGC